AUGCAAGAUUACUUCACUGAGAAUUCAACAUAUCCGCCGCACCACAGGUACCGAAUGCGCCGAUCUCUCUUUGUGAAAAUUGUUCAAGCUUGCAAGGCCAAUUGUCAGUAUUUUACUUAAAGAAGAAAUGUCGCGGGCUUGAAGGGAUUUAGCGCAUAUCAAAAAAUCUCGGCAGCCAUGCGGGUGAUUGCAUACGGCGUGCCAGCUAACUAUGCUGAUGAGUACCUUCGCAUUGGUGAUUUGUAUUCAUUUUCAUUUAAUUCAUGUGUAAUUGUAUUCGGGACAAGUUUUAUAUUGAAUUAUUUAGUUUGCUUCGGUGAUUUGAAUAAUUACUAUAAUGUCGAAGAUUAUUGUAUUGUGGUAUUGAUAUUUUUUUGA
RNAcentral lists this ribosomal RNA (378 nucleotides) under Triticum aestivum (bread wheat). RNAcentral describes it as "partial small subunit ribosomal RNA". The record is from RNAcentral. Lineage: Eukaryota; Viridiplantae; Streptophyta; Magnoliopsida; Poales; Poaceae.